This 300-nucleotide ribosomal RNA is filed under the name uncultured Helicobacter sp. RNAcentral's name for it is "bacterial SSU rRNA". It matches the Rfam family "Bacterial small subunit ribosomal RNA", at positions 497 to 795 of the family's 1533-position model. The record is from RNAcentral. Lineage: Bacteria; Pseudomonadati; Campylobacterota; Epsilonproteobacteria; Campylobacterales; Helicobacteraceae.
GGAAGUUGGGUCUAGCAGACGGGGUAAGACGAAGGACGCAAGCGUGAGCCGGAUUCAUUGGGGUUAAAGGGAGCGGAGGUAGGCUACUAAGUCAGUGGUGAAAUCGCUCGGCUUAACUGAGAAAUUGCCAGUGAUACUGGUGGACUUGUGUGUAGUUGCCGUUGGCGGAAUAUGACAUGUAGUGGUGAAAUACAUAGAGAUGUCAUAGAACACCGAUUGCGAAGGCAGCUGACGAAACUAUAACUGACACUGAGGCUCGAAAGUGCGGGGAUCAAACAGGAUUAGAUACCCCCAGUAGUC